GAACGCUGGCGGCGUGCCUAAUACCUGCAAGUCGAGCGAACGGACGAGAAGCUUGCUUCUCUGAUGUUAGCGGCGGACGGGUGAGUAACACGUGGAUAACCUACCUAUAAGACUGGGAUAACUUCGGGAAACCGGAGCUAAUACCGGAUAAUAUUUUGAACCGCAUGGUUCAAAAGUGAAAGACGGUCUUGCUGUCACUUAUAGAUGGAUCCGCGCUGCAUUAGCUAGUUGGUAAGGUAACGGCUUACCAAGGCAACGAUGCAUAGCCGACCUGAGAGGGUGAUCGGCCACACUGGAACUGAGACACGGUCCAGACUCCUACGGGAGGCAGCAGUAGGGAAUCUUCCGCAAUGGGCGAAAGCCUGACGGAGCAACGCCGCGUGAGUGAUGAAGGUCUUCGGAUCGUAAAACUCUGUUAUUAGGGAAGAACAUAUGUGUAAGUAACUGUGCACAUCUUGACGGUACCUAAUCAGAAAGCCACGGCUAACUACGUG
RNAcentral lists this ribosomal RNA (494 nucleotides) under uncultured bacterium. RNAcentral describes it as "partial 16S ribosomal RNA". It matches the Rfam family "Bacterial small subunit ribosomal RNA", at positions 31 to 507 of the family's 1533-position model. The record is from RNAcentral.